Molecule: ribosomal RNA, 408 nt
Filed under: uncultured organism
Description: bacterial LSU rRNA
Rfam family: Bacterial large subunit ribosomal RNA
Source: RNAcentral
GGACAGAAAGACCCUAUGAAGCUUUACUGUAGCCUGGAAUUGGCUUCGGGCUUCGCUUGCGCAGGAUAGGUGGGAGGCGUUGAAGUAUUCCUUGUGGGGAAUGCAGAGCCAACGGUGAGAUACCACUCUGGCGAGGCUAGAAUUCUAACUCUUACCCGUAAUCCGGGAAGAGAACAGUUUCAGGUGGGCAGUUUGACUGGGGCGGUCGCCUCCUAAAAGAUAACGGAGGCGCGCAAAGGUUCCCUCAGGCUGGUUGGAAAUCAGCCGGAGAGUGUAAAGGCACAAGGGAGCUUGACUGCGAGAGAGACAUCUCAAGCAGGUAGGAAACUAGGCCUUAGUGAUCCGACGGCGCUGAGUGGAAGGGCCGUCGCUCAACGGAUAAAAGUUACUCUAGGGAUAACAGGCUGA